CUGAGCCGCACCUCACAAACCCUGUAACAGUUUUAGAAAAUUUUAUACACAGUGGAGAUGUUUGUUUUGCUUGUAAGUCUUAUGCAUACCACCAGCAAAAGGCUGUUCCCCUGGCUCUGAGAAAACUCUAGCAUAACCCAUAGGGCUAAAUGAAAGAUUCUCUGACUUCAAGUGUUCUCUGAAGACAGGGUGGGCUUCCUGCUUCACUAGCAACUCUUUCAAAAGAGCACAGUGUAUGUGAACUGGACAAGAAGAAACAGUUCGGUUUUUACCAUACCAUUAAACCGCGAGGCUGACUCAAGUUUAACUAACUGUCAAUUUAUUAGCGGGGAAGGACUUUGCCACCCCUUGUCCCCGACAUGUUCAUCUGAAGCAUGCGCAUUCUGAUGUUAAGUGACCCUUCCUUCCAAUGGGUGAUGACACAUUGACGGAAAUAACUCCAGCUGAAAUCCAUAACGAAAGCCCAGACCAAAAAAAAAAAAAAAAGAUGAAGACAACGGUGUGGUGUGGUGCUCUUUAAAACGUAUUCCAUAUAUGUACAAAACUUGUUUGCUUAAAUUCAGGAGGGAAAACAUCUCUUUAAGUUUAUCUGUGGCCACGUGACUAGGAUGAUUUUUUUUCCACGACUUGAACGUUCCAAUAAAAGACAGCCAUUCUAUAAAUAAGUGAAUACAAUAACUUCAACUCUUUGGAUUUCAAAUGGCUGAUUCGGAGAAGCAAGAGGAAGGAUUGUCCCGAAGGGAGGCCUCUGCACAAAAUAGCCAUUAUGGGACCCAGGAGAAAGAACACCAAAGGAGAAGUUUUAAAAGGAAAGAAAAGAGAUGGAGGAGGGAUGAGAAAGAGGGGGGGAGGAGAAAGGAGCAGACGCCCUCAGCUCCAGCGGAAGCAAUGCCAAGAAGCAACUAACCAAAACCAGACAGAAGUGAGGAAAGAAUAAGAUGGCUUGGACUCAGGCCGACGAAUGCGCAAGAGAAAAAUUCACAUGGCUUCAGAGAAGGGCUUGGCAUCUGGCUCAGAAAUUCAUGUGGAUGUAUGCACGUAGUUUUUAUUUCUGGAACCAUGUUUUGCAACUUCUUCCUGAAAAAGAUGUGUUAUUUUCCUUCAUUAAAAUAAUGGAAAGACCACCCCCAAUCUCCUCAACCCACCUCCCCCAACACUAAAGUUUUUUUUUUUUUUUAAAUACUUUCUUCUAGAUCACUUCUUAGAUUUUUCUAAGCCAAAUAAAAUACUAAAACUCCAAA
Peromyscus maniculatus bairdii (prairie deer mouse) is the source of this 1241-nucleotide non-coding RNA. NCBI's taxonomy places the organism in Eukaryota, Metazoa, Chordata, Mammalia, Rodentia, Cricetidae. The record is from RefSeq and is a predicted model, not a curated record.